This 454-nucleotide ribosomal RNA is filed under the name uncultured Porphyromonadaceae bacterium. Its description in RNAcentral is "partial 16S ribosomal RNA". It matches the Rfam family "Bacterial small subunit ribosomal RNA", at positions 341 to 792 of the family's 1533-position model. The record is from RNAcentral. Lineage: Bacteria; Pseudomonadati; Bacteroidota; Bacteroidia; Bacteroidales; Porphyromonadaceae.
ACGGGAGGCAGCAGUGAGGAAUAUUGGUCAAUGGGCGAGAGCCUGAACCAGCCAUGUCGCGUGGAGGAAUAAGGAUCUAUGGUUCGUAAACUCCUUUUGCGGGAGGAUAAAGUGCGGGACGCGUCCCGCUUUGCAGGUACCCCGCGAUUAAGCAUCGGCUAACUCCGUGCCAGCAGCCGCGGUAAUACGGAGGUUGCGGGCGUUAUCCGGAUUUAUUGGGUUUAAAGGGUGCGUAGGCGGCCCCUUAAGUCGGCUGUGAAAUUUCCGGGCUCAACCCGGGCACUGCCGUUGAAACUGGGGGGCUUGAGUGCGUUUGGGGUGGGUGGAAUGUGCGGUGUAGCGGUGAAAUGCAUAGAUAUCGCACAGAACGCCGGUGGCGAAGGCAGGUCACCAAGCCGCAACUGACGCUGGGGCACGAAAGCGCGGGGAUCGAACAGGAUUAGAUACCCUGGUA